AANUUAACGGGGGGCCCGNACAAGCGGUGGAGCAUGNGGUUUAAUUNNGAAGCAACGCGCANAACCUUACCAUCCUUUGACAUGGCGUGUUACGUGGAGAGAUUCACGGUCCCCUUCGGGGGCGCGCACACAGGUGCUGCAUGGCUGUCGUCAGNUCGUGUCGUGAGAUGUUGGGUUAAGUCCCGCAACGAGCGCAACCCACGUCCUUAGUUGCCAUCAUUCAGUUGGGCACUCUAGGGAGACUGCCGGUGAUAAGCCGCGAGGAAGGUGUGGAUGACGUCAAGUCCUCAUGGCCCUUACGGGAUGGGCUACACACGUGCUACAAUGGCGGUGACAGUGGGACGCGAAGGAGCGAUCUGGAGCAAAUCCCCAAAAGCCGUCUCAGUUCGGAUUGCACUCUGCAACUCGAGUGCAUGAAGGCGGAAUCGCUAGUAAUCGUGGAUCAGCAUGCCACGGUGAAUACGUUCCCGGGCCUUGUACACACCGCCCGUCACACCAUGGGAGUUGGUCUUACCCGACGGCGCUGCGCCAACCGCAAGGGGCAGG
Molecule: ribosomal RNA, 546 nt
Filed under: Methylobacterium sp. cch_4
Lineage: Bacteria; Pseudomonadati; Pseudomonadota; Alphaproteobacteria; Hyphomicrobiales; Methylobacteriaceae
Description: bacterial SSU rRNA
Rfam family: Bacterial small subunit ribosomal RNA
Source: RNAcentral